CUUCAGAAAAAGGUAAUUCCUCGGAAUUUAAGUUUUGUGUAAAGAGAGGUGAAAGAAUCCGUAUGGGAGAAGCACUCGGAAAGUGGCAUGAGUAGAUGCUAGGGAUUGAUUAACUGCGAUUAACAUGUAACAAGUGAAGCUUCCUCCGGUCGUUUGCUGCAGAUUGGAUCAUGUUUGGCUUAAAACACCAAGAUGAUAUACAAUACGUUUCCCUGAGAAUUUACAGGCUUCAUGUAGCUUUUUGAGUACUUGCAUUUUGAUAAAUUGAGUAAAUAAAUUAUAUUUAGUCAAGUGAUUUAGAGUUCAAAUUAUAACAUUAUGAAAUCUAAUUCAAAAUUUGAAAUUUUGGUACCUUGAG
Molecule: long non-coding RNA, 358 nt
Filed under: Olea europaea subsp. europaea
Lineage: Eukaryota; Viridiplantae; Streptophyta; Magnoliopsida; Lamiales; Oleaceae
Source: RNAcentral